ACGAACAGGUCCAGAUUUACGGCUUAGAUAGCCGACCGGAGACUUUGCAGCCUCUGAGUAUUCCUGCUCCAGCUCUGGCAGAGUGUCAUUGGUGGCAUUCAUUGGGGGAGAACAGAUGUGGAGGGAUGAUUCUGGCAAUUCUUCUGUCAGACCCUGAAGGCAGGGCAAGUGGAGGUCAAAGGGUGGUGACAGCUCCUCACUGCUCCUCUUCAAGAUGCUCAUACCUCUGCAAAUAAUCCCUGCAUUAAAUUCUCUCCAUCAUUCAUCAGACUUCCGGCUGACUCACCAAAGAAGAGCUGUGUGAUAUUACGCAAGUCCCUUACCUCUUGGGCGUCCAUUCACUUAUUUGCAAAAUAAUGGAUUUGGACCAGACUGGUGUUCCUCAAACUCAGUUCCAUAUUGGGGUUCUCGCUGCCAGAGACAUGUCCGGACCGUGAGAUGGGAAAGAAUCUUUCUCAGUGACCAGAAUCCUGGCCAACAGCCUUAGGAGCCCAGAGUAAGCUGCAUUUAUUUCCUGGACUCUGAGUAUUGGGUGGAAGGAGGUAGAAUGUCGUAUUUGAAGGUGAUUGUAUGUGAACGGGUUUCAGUUCUUUGUCAACAACAACAUUCAACGUGGAUCAAAGUGCAGAAAAUAUAUGCCUCCGAAAGCUGUUUAAAUUCCCAUUUUUCUUUUUGUAACUAUGUUUGUUGCACUAAGAAUCUGACUGCAAUGAUCUGAUAUAGAUCUUGUUUAGUCAAGUAGUGCCUAGAUACUUUGUCUUUCUAGAUUUCCUUCUAAAGGUAAUUAUUGGUAGUGAGGAAGAACCAUCAUAGAUUUAUCUUUAAGGAGAUUAAAAGAAUAGAAAAUGUCAGAAUCAGACUUUUUACUUUAGUCAGACAGAAAAAGAUACUUGAACCAAAAUAAAUAUUUGUGCCACUUGA
This is a non-coding RNA of Ictidomys tridecemlineatus (thirteen-lined ground squirrel), 921 nucleotides long. The record is from RefSeq and is a predicted model, not a curated record. Lineage: Eukaryota; Metazoa; Chordata; Mammalia; Rodentia; Sciuridae.